This is a long non-coding RNA of Myotis myotis, 1077 nucleotides long. RefSeq lists it as uncharacterized. The record is from RefSeq and is a predicted model, not a curated record. The transcript has 2 exons. NCBI's taxonomy places the organism in Eukaryota, Metazoa, Chordata, Mammalia, Chiroptera, Vespertilionidae.
AACCAAUCCCAUCUUUCUCUCACAUUGAUGUUUCUCUCACUGUCUCUCCCUCCUCCCACUCUCCCUAAAAAUCAAUGGAAAAAUAUACUUGGGUGAGGAUUCAUGCACACACACACUUUCAAAUGAACAUGCUUUUCCAAAACGGAGUGUUGUUUAAAGCUAAGUAGCUGAAGUGAUGGGGGAAGGAGCAGAUGGCGCGCUGUUAUAAAGGCAGCUGAUGACAACUGUCAUCGCUAUUUAAACCGGUCCUGCAUCCGUAGACCAGUGGAAAAUAACCUCAGUACGCUCAGCCCGUUGAUCAAACGCUGCCACCCGGAGGAGGAGGUGGGUCAGAGGAGGAGGGGAUAGCCACCACAGCAUCACACCAGCCUCUCUCUGAGCCACCUUCUUCCCAGCCACACGGGUACACACAGCUCCCAGUCUGUGUGACGGACCGGCCCCUGACGGACAGAACAUCCUUCCGUGACAACAGCUGGGAGAGAGUGAACACCGGGUAGACUGAACCAUCAGAACAAUUGCAUGGCUGGCAGAGACAGACGAGAAGCAGAGGCCAGCCAGGAGUGGGAGACAGCUGCUAGGAGAAAGGCAAGCCAACAUGGCCAGGAAACCUAUAGCAUUCAACAGACAUUCCGUCCAAAAGCUGAGCUCGGCGGACGUGAUGGACAAUGCCCCGAGUAUCUAAUAGUGAAGUCAAUUCAAAACAAAACUGGUUUUUUUCUUUUAUGAACACAAAGCACUUAAAUAACACUCCAGUCUUCAGCAAAGCUGCAGAAAGAAACCAUUCAUGCAGUGUGAGUUUUAAGGCUGGCUUUCGCUUUUCAGCGGGCUCCCGGUGUGAAAACGUGUGUUUCCUCCAGCUCCUCUCUGUGCAGCAUGCAGACAACCCUGUCAGCACUUUUCCUGCCAAUGUUUUCCCGCCUCGCAGAUCACUACGUCCACUGACAUAGAUCUCAAGCAAACUUUAAACAAAGACGUGUCUUGUCUUUACCGCCCACUUAGCCUGCUGCUGUCUGUCUCUUGCAACAUUUCUGUCUGUCCUUACGUCUUUGGAAUAAACUGACUCUGUGUUUCAUCGGA